Molecule: long non-coding RNA, 237 nt
Organism: Bufo gargarizans (Asiatic toad)
Lineage: Eukaryota; Metazoa; Chordata; Amphibia; Anura; Bufonidae
Exons: 3
Source: RefSeq, a predicted model, not a curated record
AAUUUAGCAAUGAUCUCACUAACAGCAGCUCCGAGGGAUUCCAGAAACUACGAAGAGAAAUAGAGCAGACUAUACAGAAUAUCCUGCAGACAAAGUAUGGGAAUUUGAAUGUCUCUGUAAUCUCAUUCAGCCCUGGAUCGGUGAUCGUCAUCUUACAAAUCCUCUUUCCCGAUGGCACUGUGGUGACUAUUGCAGAUAUUCAAGCCUUGUUUGAUGAAGUGAGGAGGACUGGCAUGC